Molecule: ribosomal RNA, 253 nt
Filed under: uncultured bacterium
Lineage: Bacteria
Description: partial 16S ribosomal RNA
Rfam family: Bacterial small subunit ribosomal RNA
Source: RNAcentral
AACGUAGGAGGCAAGCGUUAUCCGGAUUCACUGGGCGUAAAGCGCGUGCAGGCGGUUCGGUAAGUUGGGCGUGAAAUCUCCUGGCUCAACUAGGAGAGGUCGUUCGAUACUACCGGGCUAGAGAGUGGUAGAGGAAGAUGGAAUUCCCGGUGUAGUGGUGAAAUGCGUAGAUAUCGGGAGGAACACCAGUGGCGAAGGCGAUCUUCUGGACCAUUUCUGACGCUCAGACGCGACAGCUAGGGUAGCAAACGGG